Molecule: ribosomal RNA, 213 nt
Filed under: uncultured bacterium
Lineage: Bacteria
Description: partial 16S ribosomal RNA
Rfam family: Bacterial small subunit ribosomal RNA
Source: RNAcentral
CUCAGUUCGGAUUGUAGGCUGCAACUCGCCUACAUGAAGUCGGAAUCGCUGUAAUCGCGGAUCAGCAUGCCGCGGUGAAUACGUUCCCGGGCCUUGUACACACCGCCCGUCACACCAUGAGAGUUUGUAACACCCAAAGCCGGUGGGGUAACCUUUUGGAGCCAGCCGUCUAAGGUGGGACAGAUGAUUAGGGUGAAGUCGUAACAAGGUAGC